This 259-nucleotide non-coding RNA is filed under the name Clostridium fallax. Its description in RNAcentral is "T-box sequence". It matches the Rfam family "T-box leader". From Rfam's summary of the family: Uncharged tRNA acts as the effector for transcription antitermination of genes in the T-box leader family. T-boxes are found upstream of many aminoacyl-tRNA synthetase genes and some amino acid biosynthetic genes usually in Gram-positive bacteria. The record is from RNAcentral. Lineage: Bacteria; Bacillati; Bacillota; Clostridia; Eubacteriales; Clostridiaceae.
AUAAAUGCUAUGAUGAGGGCAAGUACUUAGGGAAUUUACUAUUCAGAGAGUAACUGUUAGGUGUGAAGUUACAGUAAUACUUAAGGAAAAUCACCUAGGAGCUAGAGGCUGAAAAGUUAUUCUGAAUAAGCUGUCUCGUUAGCCUGCGUUAAAGGAUAGAGUAUGAUAGUACUUGAUUUAAAAUCCCAGGGAUUUUUAUCCUUUUUAAAUUAUAGGGAUUUACCAUAGGUGGUAUAGCGAAUAUAACUUCGUCCUAAUG